This 1470-nucleotide ribosomal RNA is filed under the name metagenome. Its description in RNAcentral is "bacterial SSU rRNA". It matches the Rfam family "Bacterial small subunit ribosomal RNA". The record is from RNAcentral.
AGAGUUUGAUCCUGGCUCAGGACGAACGCUGGCGGCACGCUUAACACAUGCAAGUCGAACGAGAGAAGAGGAGCUUGCUUUUCUGAUCUAGUGGCGGACGGGUGAGUAACACGUGAGCAAUCUGCCUUUCAGAGGGGGAUACCGAUUGGAAACGAUCGUUAAUACCGCAUAACAUAAUUGAACCGCAUGAUUUGAUUAUCAAAGAUUUAUCGCUGAAAGAUGAGCUCGCGUCUGAUUAGCUAGUUGGUAAGGUAGCGGCUUACCAAGGCGGCGAUCAGUAGCCGGACUGAGAGGUUGAUCGGCCACAUUGGGACUGAGACACGGCCCAGACUCCUACGGGAGGCAGCAGUGGGGAAUAUUGCACAAUGGAGGAAACUCUGAUGCAGCGAUGCCGCGUGAGGGAAGAAGGUUUUAGGAUUGUAAACCUCUGUCUUCAGGGACGAAAAAAGACGGUACCUGAGGAGGAAGCUCCGGCUAACUACGUGCCAGCAGCCGCGGUAAUACGUAGGGAGCGAGCGUUGUCCGGAAUUACUGGGUGUAAAGGGAGCGUAGGCGGGACCGCAAGUCAGAUGUGAAAACUAUGGGCUUAACCCAUAAACUGCAUUUGAAACUGUGGUUCUUGAGUGAAGUAGAGGUAAGCGGAAUUCCUAGUGUAGCGGUGAAAUGCGUAGAUACUAGGAGGAACAUCAGUGGCGAAGGCGGCUUACUGGGCUUUAACUGACGCUGAGGCUCGAAAGCGUGGGGAGCAAACAGGAUUAGAUACCCUGGUAGUCCACGCCGUAAACGAUGAUUACUAGGUGUGGGGGGACUGACCCCUUCCGUGCCGCAGCAAACGCAAUAAGUAAUCCACCUGGGGAGUACGACCGCAAGGUUGAAACUCAAAGGAAUUGACGGGGGCCCGCACAAGCAGUGGAGUAUGUGGAUUAAUUCGAAGCAACGCGAAGAACCUUACCAGGUCUUGACAUCGUAUGCAUAGCUCAGAGAUGAGUGAAAUCUCUUCGGAGACAUAUAGACAGGUGGUGCAUGGUUGUCGUCAGCUCGUGUCGUGAGAUGUUGGGUUAAGUCCCGCGACGAGCGCAACCCUUACUGUUAGUUGCUACGCAAGAGCACUCUAGCAGGACUGCCGUUGACAAAACGGAGGAAGGUGGGGAUGACGUCAAAUCAUCAUGCCCCUUAUGACCUGGGCCUCACACGUACUACAAUGGCUGUCAACAGAGGGAAGCAAAGCCGCGAGGUGGAGCGAACCCCUAAAAGCAGUCUUAGUUCGGAUUGUAGGCUGCAACCCGCCUACAUGAAGUCGGAAUUGCUAGUAAUCGCAGAUCAGCAUGCUGCGGUGAAUACGUUCCCGGGCCUUGUACACACCGCCCGUCACGCCAUGGGAGUCGGUAACACCCGAAGCCUGUAGUCUAACCGCAAGGAGGACGCAGUCGAAGGUGGGAUUGAUGACUGGGGUGAAGUCGUAACAAGGUA